AUUGAACGCUGGCGGCAUGCCUAACACAUGCAAGUCGAGCGGAUGAAGGGAGCUUUCUCCUGUAUUCAGCGGCGGACGGGUGAGUAAUGCCUAGGAAUCUGCCUUGUAUUGGGGGAUAACGUCCGUAAACGGGCGCUAAUACCGCAUACGUCCUUAGGGAGAAAGGGGGGGAUCUUCGGACCUCACGCUAUCAGAUGAGCCUAGGUCGGAUUAGCUAGUUGGUGGGGUAAAGGCCUACCAAGGCGACGAUCCGUAACUGGUCUGAGAGGAUGAUCAGUCACACUGGAACUGAGACACGGUCCAGACUCCUACGGGAGGCAGCAGUGGGGAAUAUUGGACAAUGGGCGAAAGCCUGAUCCAGCCAUGCCGCGUGUGUGAAGAAGGUCUUCGGAUUGUAAAGCACUUUAAGUUGGGAGGAAGGGCAGUAAGUUAAUACAUUGCUGUUUUGACGUUACCAACAGAAUAAGCACCGGCUAACUUCGUG
This 484-nucleotide ribosomal RNA is filed under the name uncultured bacterium. RNAcentral describes it as "partial 16S ribosomal RNA". It matches the Rfam family "Bacterial small subunit ribosomal RNA", at positions 30 to 507 of the family's 1533-position model. The record is from RNAcentral.